Molecule: ribosomal RNA, 292 nt
Filed under: uncultured bacterium
Lineage: Bacteria
Description: partial 16S ribosomal RNA
Rfam family: Bacterial small subunit ribosomal RNA
Source: RNAcentral
GUGCCAGCAGCCGCGGUAAUACGGAGGGUGCAAGCGUUGUUCGGAAUUACUGGGCGUAAAGAGCGUGUAGGCGGCCGAUCAAGUCCGGUGUGAAAGCCCGGGGCUUACCCCCGGAAGUGCGCUGGAAACUGAUCGGCUCGAGUAUGGGAGAGGGAAGUGGAAUUCCUGGUGUAGCGGUGAAAUGCGUAGAUAUCAGGAGGAACACCGGCGGCGAAGGCGGCUUCCUGGACCAAUACUGACGCUGAGACGCGAAAGCGUGGGGAGCAAACAGGAUUAGAUACCCUAGUAGUCC